UGCCAGCCGCCGCGGUAAUACGGAGGGUGCAACCGUUAAUCGGAAUUACUGGGCGUAAAGCGCGCGUAGGCGGUUAAGCAAGUCAGAUGUGAAAGCCCCGGGCUCAACCUGGGAACUGCAUUUGAAACUGUUUGGCUAGAGUGAGUGAGAGGUUAGUGGAAUUCAAGGCGUAGCGGUGAAAUGCGUAGAGGUCUUGAGGAACAUCAGUGGCGAAGGCGACUAACUGGACUGAUACUGACGCUGAGGUGCGAAAGUGUGGGGAGCAAACAGGAUUAGAUA
This 279-nucleotide ribosomal RNA is filed under the name uncultured bacterium. Its description in RNAcentral is "partial 16S ribosomal RNA". It matches the Rfam family "Bacterial small subunit ribosomal RNA", at positions 506 to 784 of the family's 1533-position model. The record is from RNAcentral.